GCUUGGCCCUAAACACAGAUAGUACAAACACAAUACUAUCCGCCAGAGAACUACAAGCGAAAAGCUCAAAACUCCAAGGACUUGGCGGUGCUUCAAACCAACCUAGAGGAGCCUGUCCUAUAAUCGAUACCCCACGUUCUACCUUUCCCCCCCUUGAAACUCAGCCUAUAUACCGCCGUCGCCAGCCUACCUUGUGAAAGAAACAAAGUAAGCAAAAUAGUUAACAACUAAUACGUCAGGUCAAGGUGUAGCACACGGGGCGGCAGAGAUGGGCUACAUUUUUUCUAAAAACACACGAACGGCACACUGAAACAUGUACCUAAAGGUGGAUUUAGUAGUAAGAUAGACAAGAGAAACUAUCUUAAACCAGCUCUGAAGCGCGC
Molecule: ribosomal RNA, 383 nt
Filed under: Tropidophorus hainanus
Lineage: Eukaryota; Metazoa; Chordata; Lepidosauria; Squamata; Scincidae
Description: partial 12S rRNA
Rfam family: Bacterial small subunit ribosomal RNA
Source: RNAcentral